RNAcentral lists this ribosomal RNA (519 nucleotides) under uncultured eukaryote. Its description in RNAcentral is "SSU rRNA". It matches the Rfam family "Eukaryotic small subunit ribosomal RNA", at positions 1161 to 1703 of the family's 1831-position model. The record is from RNAcentral.
AGGGCACCACCAGGUGUGGAUCCUGCGGCUUAAUUUGACUCAACACGGGAAAACUCACCCGGCCCGGACACCGUGAGGAUUGACAGAUUGAUAGCUUUUUCAUGAUUCGGUGGUUGGUGGUGCAUGGCCGUUCUUAGUUGGUGGACUGAUUUGUCUGGUUAAUUCCGAUAACGAACGAGACUCUCGCCUACUAAAUAGACGGCGUAUCGAAACGUACGCCGAGCUUCUUAGAGGGACAAGCGGCGCCUAGCCGCAUGAAACAGAGCAAUAACAGGUCUGUGAUGCCCUUAGAUGUCCGGGGCUGCACGCGCGCUACACUGAAAGAAUCAGCGUGCGCGUACGCCUGGUCCGGAAGGACCGGGUAACCCGAUGAAAUUCUUUCGUGCUUGGGAUAGGGAAUUGAAAUUAUUUCCCUUGAACGAGGAAUUCCCAGUAAAUGCGGGUCAUAAGCUCGCGUUGAUUACGUCCCUGCCCUUUGUACACACCGCCCGUCGCUACUACCGAUUGGAUGACUUAGUG